AUGGCGCCGCCGCCGCGCCGCCUCCUCCUAGUCCUCCUCGGGUUCCUUGCCGCUGCCUCUCUAGCUACCCUCGCCGCCGCUGUCUACGAAGACCAAGUCGGCCUCGCUGACUGGCAUCAGAAGUACAUAGGCAAAGUUAAGCAGGCAGUUUACCACACUCAGAAGAGUGGGAGGAGGCGUGUCGUGGUCUUGACAGAGGAAAAUGUGAUCGCCUCUCUUGAUCUUCGUUCAGGAGAUAUAUUUUGGCGACAUGUCAUUGAGAAGAACAACCCCAUCGACCAGCUUAGUCUUUCAGCGGGAAAAUAUGUUGUUACUCUUUCUUCGGGAGGUAGUAUAUUGAGGGCAUGGAAUCUUCCUGAUGGACAAAUGAUCUGGGAAACCAAUAUUCAAACUUCCACAUCAUCAAAGUCGUUGCUGCAUGUUUUGUCAAACAGUAAAGUGGUAAAGGAUAAUUUGGUUUUAGUUUUGGCUGGACAAUGGAUUUAUGCUGUAUCAAGCAUUGAUGGAGUCAUUUCUUGGGGAAAGGAGUUCACACUUGACGGCCUAGAAAUCAAGCAGGUCGUUCAAUCACCUGAGAAUGAUAUUGUCUAUGUUGUUGGGAUUGCUGGUUCCUCAAAGCUUGCUGUUUAUCAGUUGAAUGCUAAAACUGGAGAGAUAGUAAAGGAUGCCCAAGAGUCAUUGCCUGAUGGAUUAUGUGGUGAAAUAUUACUUGGUUCCAGUAAUGUGUUGGUAGCACUGGAUGAGACCAGGUCAGCUCUGUUUAUUGUUGAGUUCAAGGGUGAGAGCAUCAGCUACAACAAGGUGCAGAUUUCAGAGUUUGUUCAAGACUUUUCUGGGACGGUCAAACUUCUACCACUGAUGUCUAAUGGUAUCAUAGCUUUGCAAUCAUCUUCUACUGUUUCUCUCCUGAAGCUUAAAGGUAUGGAUGGGUUGGAAGUAAUCCAUAGCUUUGACCAACCAGCCUCUGUGAGUGAUGCUCUGACAAUAACAGAAAAAUAUGAAGCCUUUGCUGUUGUGCAACAUGUGGGUUCUCAAAUUGAAUUUAUUGUCAAAGUUACAAGUGAUUUAACCAAUGAGAUUAUUAGGGAGAAAGUUGAUAUAGAUCAGCAUAGAGGCAGUGUACACAAGGUCUUCUUGAAUAAUUAUGUCCGCACUGAUAAAUCUCAUGGUUUUCGGGCUCUGGUUGUAAUGGAAGAUCAUUCCAUCCUGUUAAUUCAACAAGGUGCGGUUGUCUGGAGCAGAGAGGAUGGACUUGCUUCAAUUGUUGAUGUAAUGGCUUCUGAAUUGCCUGUUGAGAAGGAUGGUGUCUCAGUUGCGGAUGUGGAACACAAUCUCUUUGAAUGGCUUAAGGGACAUGUGCUGAAACUCAAAGGAACUCUAAUGCUUGCUAGUGUUGAUGAACUUGCUGCAAUCCAAGCAUUGAGAGUCAGAAGCUCUGAGAAAAAUAAGAUGACCAGAGACCAUAAUGGAUUCCGCAAACUUCUUAUUGUGUUGACCAAGGCUGGCAAAGUGGUAGCUCUGCAUACUGGAGAUGGCCGUAUUAUCUGGUCAAAUUUGUUGCCUUCCCUUCGUGCUUCUAAAUCUGGCGAAAUGCCUUCUGCCUUGAGGAUAUACCAAUGGCAGGUACCCCAUCACCGUGUUAUGCGUGAGAACCCAUCCAUACUUGUUGUGGGAAGAUCUGGAGCCAGCUCUGUUGCUCCUGGUGUCCUCUGUGUUCUUGAUUCGUAUUCCGGAGAGGAACUCAACUCUCGGAGCUUUGACCAUUCUGUUGCCCAAAUUAUCCCAUUGACACUGAAGGAUUCAUCUGAACAGCGUCUUCAUCUUAUUGUUGAUUCCAACUCCAACGCUCACCUAUAUCCAAGAUCUCUGGAUGCCCUUAAUUCAUUUAUUAGUGAAAUGUCAAAUCAGUAUUUCUAUUCUGUAGAUAUUCAGAAAAAUGCUAUCAGAGGGUAUUCAUUACAGAAAUCAUGUGACUUCAAUUCGGAUGACACAUACUGCUUUAGCACAAAGUUGUUAUGGUCUAUCAUUUUCCCUUCCGACGCAGAAAGGAUUUCUGUCUCCGAAGCACGAAAGAUGAAUGAGGUUGUUCACACUCAAGCAAAGAUCAUAGCAGAUCAAGAUGUGAUGUACAAGUAUUUAUCAAAGAACUUAAUUUUUGUUGCUACGGUGUCUCCUAAUGCUGCUGGUGAAAUUGGAUCCGCGGCACCUGAAGAAGCUUCACUCGUGGCAUAUCUCAUUGAUGCUGUCAGCGGACGCAUACUACACCGUGUGACCCAUCAUGGUGCACAAGGCCCUGUGCAUGCCGUUGUCAGCGAGAACUGGGUUGUCUAUCAUUAUUUCAACCUCCGAGCUCACAGAUUUGAAAUUGCAGUGAUUGAGAUAUAUGACCAAUCUAGGGCGGACAAUAAAGAUGUAUUGAAGCUCAUACUUGGGAAGCACAAUUUGUCUGCACCCAUGACUUCUUAUUCCCGACCAGAGGUUAUGGUGAAAUCCCAGUCAUACUUUUUUACUCAUUCGGUGAAGGCAAUGGCAGUUACACAAACAGCCAAGGGUAUCACUUCCAAGCAGCUUCUCAUUGGCACGAUUGGUGACCAGGUUUUGGCACUUGACAAGCGCUUUCUUGACCCACGCCGUUCAUUGAAUCCUACACAACAAGAGAAAGAAGAGGGUAUUAUACCGUUAACAGAUUCUUUGCCUAUUAUUCCACAGUCCUAUGUGACACACUCUCUUCAAGUGGAAGCACUGCGAGGAAUUGUUUCUAUUCCGGCAAAGUUGGAGUCCACUACUCUUGUUUUCACUUAUGGUGUGGAUCUCUUCUACACUCGGCUUGCACCAUCAAGAACCUAUGAUUCACUCACGGAUGAAUUCAGUUAUGCUCUUCUUCUAAUUACUAUUGUCGCGUUGGUUGCUGCUCUUUUCGUUACUUGGAUUUGGUCUGAGAAGAAGGAAUUAAGAGACAAGUGGAGGUAA
RNAcentral lists this ribosomal RNA (2970 nucleotides) under Triticum aestivum (bread wheat). RNAcentral describes it as "partial small subunit ribosomal RNA". Lineage: Eukaryota; Viridiplantae; Streptophyta; Magnoliopsida; Poales; Poaceae. The record is from RNAcentral.